GAGUUUGAUCCUGGCUCAGGAUGAACGCUGGCGGCGUGCCUAACACAUGCAAGUCGAGCGAGAACUUUGAGAAAGAAGCUUCGGUAGAUUUUUCAAAGGGAAAGCGGCGGACGGGUGAGUAACGCGUAGGCAACCUGCCCCAUACAAAGGGAUAGCAACGGGAAACUGUUAUUAAAACCUUAUGAAGUAAAGAUGUUGCAUGACAUUUUUACCAAAGAUUUAUCGGUAUGGGAUGGGCCUGCGUCUGAUUAGUUAGUUGGUGAGGUAACGGCUCACCAAGGCGACGAUCAGUAGCCGACCUGAGAGGGUGAUCGGCCACAUUGGAACUGAGACACGGUCCAAACUCCUACGGGAGGCAGCAGUGGGGAAUAUUGCACAAUGGGCGAAAGCCUGAUGCAGCAACGCCGCGUGAACGAAGAAGGCCCUUGGGUCGUAAAGUUCUGUCCAAAGGGAAGAUAAUGACGGUACCUUUGGAGGAAGCCCCGGCUAACUACGUGCCAGCAGCCGCGGUAAUACGUAGGGGGCAAGCGUUAUCCGGAAUUAUUGGGCGUAAAGGGUACGUAGGUGGUCUUUUAAGCGCAGGGUUUAAGGCAAUGGCUUAACCAUUGUAUGCCUUGCGAACUGGAGGACUUGAGUGCAGGAGGGGAAAGCGGAAUUCCUAGUGUAGCGGUGAAAUGCGUAGAUAUUAGGAGGAACACCAGCGGCGAAGGCGGCUUUCUGGACUGUAACUGACACUGAGGUACGAAAGCGUGGGGAGCAAACAGGAUUAGAUACCCUGGUAGUCCACGCCGUAAACGAUGAGCACUAGAUGUCGGGUAGAAAUAUUCGGUAUCGCAGUUAACGCAAUAAGUGCUCCGCCUGGGGAGUACGCACGCAAGUGUGAAACUCAAAGGAAUUGACGGGGACCCGCACAAGCAGCGGAGCAUGUGGUUUAAUUCGAAGCAACGCGAAGAACCUUACCAGGACUUGACAUCCCUCUGACAGGAGUGUAAUGACUCUUUUCUACGGACAGAGGAGACAGGUGGUGCAUGGUUGUCGUCAGCUCGUGUCGUGAGAUGUUGGGUUAAGUCCCGCAACGAGCGCAACCCUUGUCUUUAGUUGCCAUCAUUAAGUUGGGCACUCUAAAGAGACUGCCGGGGACAACUCGGAGGAAGGUGGGGAUGACGUCAAAUCAUCAUGCCCCUUAUGUUCUGGGCUACACACGUGCUACAAUGGCCGGAACAAAGAGAAGCGAAAUCGUGAGGUGGAGCGAAUCUCAAAAACCGGCCCCAGUUCGGAUUGCAGGCUGCAACUCGCCUGCAUGAAGUCGGAGUUGCUAGUAAUCGCAGAUCAGGAUGCUGCGGUGAAUGCGUUCCCGGGUCUUGUACACACCGCCCGUCACACCAUGGAAGUUGGGGGCGCCCAAAGUUGGUCGGCAGAUAGACUACCUAAGGUGAAACCAAUGACUGGGGUGAAGUCGUAACAAGGUAGCCGUAUCGGAAGGUGCGGCUGGAUCACCUCCUU
This 1503-nucleotide ribosomal RNA is filed under the name Peptostreptococcaceae bacterium feline oral taxon 064. Its description in RNAcentral is "bacterial SSU rRNA". It matches the Rfam family "Bacterial small subunit ribosomal RNA". The record is from RNAcentral. Lineage: Bacteria; Bacillati; Bacillota; Clostridia; Peptostreptococcales; Peptostreptococcaceae.